This 468-nucleotide ribosomal RNA is filed under the name uncultured bacterium. RNAcentral describes it as "partial 16S ribosomal RNA". It matches the Rfam family "Bacterial small subunit ribosomal RNA", at positions 28 to 507 of the family's 1533-position model. The record is from RNAcentral.
GACGAACGCUGGCGGCGUGCUUAACACAUGCAAGUCGAACGGAAAGGCCCUGCUUUUGUGGGGUGCUCGAGUGGCGAACGGGUGAGUAACACGUGAGUAACCUGCCCUUGACUUUGGGAUAACUUCAGGAAACUGGGGCUAAUACCGGAUAGGAGCUCCUGCUGCAUGGUGGGGGUUGGAAAGUUUCGGCGGUUGGGGAUGGACUCGCGGCUUAUCAGCUUGUUGGUGGGGUAGUGGCUUACCAAGGCUUUGACGGGUAGCCGGCCUGAGAGGGUGACCGGCCACCUUGGGACUACGAUACGGCCCAGAGUCCUACGGGAGGCAGCAGUGGGGAAUAUUGCACAAUGGGCGGAAGCCUGAUGCAGAAACGCCGCGUGCGGGAUGACGGCCUUCGGGUUGUAAACCGCUUUCGCCUGUGACGAAGCGUGAGUGACGGUAAUGGGUAAAGAAGCACCGGCUAACUACGUG